UACGUAGGUGGCAAGCGUUGUCCGGAUUUACUGGGCGUAAAGAGCGCGCAGGCGGUCGUUCAAGUCGCGUGUGAAAGCCCCCGGCUCAACUGGGGAACGGCACGGGAAACUGGGAGGCUUGAGUUCGGGAGAGGGAAGCGGAAUUCCGGGUGUAGCGGUGAAAUGCGUAGAUAUCCGGAGGAACACCGGUGGCGAAGGCGGCUUCCUGGACCGACACUGACGCUGAGGCGCGAAAGCUAGGGGAGCAAACGGG
RNAcentral lists this ribosomal RNA (253 nucleotides) under uncultured bacterium. RNAcentral describes it as "partial 16S ribosomal RNA". It matches the Rfam family "Bacterial small subunit ribosomal RNA", at positions 524 to 776 of the family's 1533-position model. The record is from RNAcentral.